RNAcentral lists this ribosomal RNA (626 nucleotides) under uncultured Acidobacteriota bacterium. Its description in RNAcentral is "bacterial SSU rRNA". It matches the Rfam family "Bacterial small subunit ribosomal RNA", at positions 60 to 718 of the family's 1533-position model. Lineage: Bacteria; Pseudomonadati; Acidobacteriota. The record is from RNAcentral.
AGUCGCACGAGAAAGGGUAGCAAUACCUGAGUAAAGUGGCGCACGGGUGAGUAACACGUGAAUUAUCUACCUCCGAGUGGGGAAUAACUGAGAGAAAUCUUAGCUAAUACCGCAUAACACUUACGAGUCAAAGCAGCAAUGCGCUUGGAGAGGAGUUCGCGGCCGAUUAGUUAGUUGGCGGGGUAAUGGCCCACCAAGACGAUGAUCGGUAUCCGGCCUGAGAGGGCGCACGGACACACUGGAACUGAAACACGGUCCAGACUCCUACGGGAGGCAGCAGUGGGGAAUUUUGCGCAAUGGGGGAAACCCUGACGCAGCAACGCCGCGUGGAGGAUGAAGUAUCUUGGUACGUAAACUCCUUUCGAUUGGGAAGAUAAUGACGGUACCAAUAGAAGAAGCCCCGGCUAACUUCGUGCCAGCAGCCGCGGUAAUACGAGGGGGGCAAGCGUUGUUCGGAUUUAUUGGGCGUAAAGGGUGCGUAGGCGGUUUGGCAAGUCUUGUGUGAAAUCUAUGGGCUCAACCCAUAGUCUGCACAAGAAACUGCCGGGCUUGAGUAUGGGAGAGGUGAGUGGAAUUUCCGGUGUAGCGGUGAAAUGCGUAGAUAUCGGAAGGAACACCUGUGGCGA